Bombus huntii is the source of this 808-nucleotide RNA transcript. It is a transcript of the gene named thrombospondin-2-like, with no coding region annotated. Lineage: Eukaryota; Metazoa; Arthropoda; Insecta; Hymenoptera; Apidae. The transcript is spliced from 2 exons. The record is from RefSeq and is a predicted model, not a curated record.
AGUCAUUUAAAUAAUAUUAUAUUAACUCCUUAUAAACAAUCAUCUCCCAGACAAAAGGAAAAUUUGCAUCGUACCAUGGAAACAUACGCUAUUACAAAUAACGAAGUUAAUACAGAUGGACAAAGUGGAAAAAAAGGUAUAACCAAUAAGCAAUUGAUUUACUAUUUUAAUUAUUAUUUGAUAAAUACUUUAUUAUAAUUAUAGAAAAUAUUAUUAAAGGAGAAUAUAUUGGAUCGCCCGGAAAGUUCAUUCCGAUUUAUAUUUAGAUUCGAUAUACAUUUAUUGAAUUUUAUAGGUGCUAUUUUAUUCCACAACCUUUCUCCAUCCUUUAAGCAACUUGAAUAUUGCAUCCUUCCAGAACCUCUCAAGUUUUUCAGUGAGAAACUUUUCAAUAAGAUCUUUCAUGUCAACCAAUUUAAUUCAAAAUCGGAACAAACUUUCCGGACGAUCUAAUAUUAGCCUAUUAAGGACCAGAAAUUACGUUAACGCUGUAUUUCAUUUGUAGUUAUCUUCGAUUACUUUAUUGAUGUUUGCUUUCUACUAUUAUGGCUAUGAAAAAGAAUUCUGAGGACUUGCCUAAUAUUCUUGCUUUCUUUUUUAUUAUUUCUUCUGUCAACUAUAUUCUACGUUUUUAUAGAGUUUGUACAAAUUGUAAUAUUUGUAGCAUCGUGGUAGGAUCACUCGUCAAGGACCAAAAAUAUGGGAUCAAUGGGGAAACUGGUCAAGCUGUAGUGUUACUUGUGGUAUAGGAAAAUUAACAAGAUGGAGACAUUGUAUAGGUGGAAGUUGUUUAUUAGGUGAAAAGAAA